CCCUUAGAUGGUCUGGGCGGCACGCGCGCUACAAUGAUGCAUUCAAAAAGUCUUCUGACCUUAGAAGGUUGGGUAUUCUCCAAAGUGCAUCGUGAUGGGAAUAGUUUAUUGCAAUUUUUAAUCUUGAACGAGGAAUUCCUAGUAAGUACAGGUCAUCAACUUGUGUUGAUUACGUCCCUGCCCUUUGUACACACCGCCCGUCGCUCCUACUGAUUGAGUGUCUCGGCGAAUUCUUUGAUCUUCUGUCGAUUCAGUUCACUGAUCCGACGGUGGAAAGUUGAAUGAACUUCGUCACUUAGAGGAAGGAGAAGUCGUAACA
RNAcentral lists this ribosomal RNA (319 nucleotides) under uncultured eukaryote. RNAcentral describes it as "partial 18S ribosomal RNA". It matches the Rfam family "Eukaryotic small subunit ribosomal RNA", at positions 1470 to 1796 of the family's 1831-position model. The record is from RNAcentral.